RNAcentral lists this transfer RNA (66 nucleotides) under Phascolosoma pacificum. RNAcentral describes it as "tRNA-Phe". Lineage: Eukaryota; Metazoa; Annelida; Sipuncula; Phascolosomatiformes; Phascolosomatidae. The record is from RNAcentral.
GUUUUUGUAGCUUAAAAUAAUAAAGCAUAGCUUUGAAGCAGCUAAGAUAGGAACCCCUCAAAAACA